GGUUUUUGUCUUCUCUCAAUUAUCUCUCCAAGCGCCAGUGUGAAGUGUUCAUGUACAUUUGCCAGUCUGGCAGUUUUAUGUUUCCAGAAUCUGUUGUGAGAGGUUCAGCAGCUGCAGAAACCCGAGAUUCCUCUGGCAUCACAUUGGUUUGUUUCUGUCAGCAUGCUUAAUCAUUUUCAUACCAAAGAAUUGUGGAGUGAUCUGAUCUUAGCGAUGAUUUGGACUCCUUUGGUUUUUGUUGCCUUUUUCUUUAGAGAGGAGGAAAGAAAAGGAGUGAAGGAAGGAUGUUCUGGUUAGUAAAGGAAAAAAUGCAGUGUCCGUUUCAAGUGUAGUAGCUGUUAAGUAUGUAGGCAUAUGUAUGAUUCAUUAUGCAGUUAUAAAAACGAAAGGCAUACCAUCUUGCCUCUUCGCCUCAGAACACAAUUUCUCUUACAGCAACAAGUAGCACAGGCUCCUCUCCCCCUCUCCUCUCCCCCUCCCGCCUUCAGCCCAUCCUGACAAAAUGCCAGUUACAAAGGUCAGACUGUUUAUGUAAAGAUCACUGUGUUUCUUAACAAAGACUGCUGCACAUCAGGCCUGCAAUGACUAUCAAAUAGACUUUUGGAUUCAAGAGACUCAAUAAGAGUACUGUCCAUUUUCUAGAACUGAUAAAAUCCCAGAGAAAACAAAAGACAAAGAGACGUAGUGUGUGAAUGGGAUGGAUCAACAGUGCCAGGGUGCACAUGGGCAGCAGCAUCUUCAUGACAGUGCUCAUUACUGCCAAUGCUAGCAAGAUCCAGUGGACGCUUAUAUGCGUGUGUGUUUCUGUGUGAAUAUAUAAAAAAAGAUUUGCUGAUUUGCUAAUGGUUUUCUGCUCUUCUCUUUAGGUUUCUUGCUAGCCCUAAUGAUGUCCUAGGUUGAAAUUGUUCUGCAGCUACUUCACACCAAAGGUAGCUUAAAUCAGCCAAGGAGAAUUUUGAGUAUGACCAACCCCACCCUCCCAAUAAAAGAGAAGAGAUUGACUUCACUAGACUUCAGCUCAGACCCUUCACAAUCAGUUCUUGCCUUGCAACAGCUUGGGUUGGGUCAUGGUGCACAACAGAUAAAGACAUCAGAAGCAACACUGACAAAACAUGUUAACAUAGGAUAAUCUCAAUGUCCCCGUUAGUCGUGUACUUUAGAUGGCUAGGUAAAAAAACCCUCAACAGCAAAAUAACCCUCAGGUAAUUCUCUCCUUGAGCACUGUUUGGACUGUCUAGAGGCAAGAGAAGGUCUUCUCAACCAGCUCCUGGAAUUUUUUG
Molecule: long non-coding RNA, 1280 nt
Filed under: Otus sunia (Oriental scops-owl)
Lineage: Eukaryota; Metazoa; Chordata; Aves; Strigiformes; Strigidae
Description: lncRNA (ENSOSUG00000013152.1)
Source: RNAcentral